UCAGGAUAGCAUGAUGGCUGUCCUCGUAAUU
Molecule: transfer RNA, 31 nt
Filed under: Miscanthus sinensis var. purpurascens
Lineage: Eukaryota; Viridiplantae; Streptophyta; Magnoliopsida; Poales; Poaceae
Description: partial tRNA-Phe
Source: RNAcentral